This 442-nucleotide ribosomal RNA is filed under the name uncultured bacterium. RNAcentral describes it as "partial 16S ribosomal RNA". It matches the Rfam family "Bacterial small subunit ribosomal RNA", at positions 338 to 795 of the family's 1533-position model. The record is from RNAcentral.
CCUACGGGAGGCAGCAGUAGGGAAUCUUUCACAAUGGGCGAAAGCCUGAUGGAGCAACGCCGCGUGCAGGAUGAAGGCCUUCGGGUUGUAAACUGCUUUUAUAAGCGAGAAAUAUGAUGGUAACUUAUGAAUAAGGAUCGGCUAACUACGUGCCAGCAGCCGCGGUCAUACGUAGGAUCCGAGCAUUAUCCGGGGUGACUGGGUGUAAAGAGUUGCGUAGGUGGCAUAAUAAGUAGCUAGUGAAAUCUGGUGGCUCAACCAUUCAGACUAUUAGCUAAACUGUUAAGCUCGAGACCGUUAGGGGUAACUAGAAUUUCUAGUGUAGGAGUGAAAUCCGUAGAUAUUAGAAGGAACACCAAUAGCGUAGGCAGGUUGCUGGGACGGUUCUGACACUAAGGCACGAAAGCGUAGGGAGCAAACGGGAUUAGAUACCCGUGUAGUC